This 1241-nucleotide ribosomal RNA is filed under the name metagenome. Its description in RNAcentral is "bacterial LSU rRNA". It matches the Rfam family "Bacterial large subunit ribosomal RNA", at positions 1564 to 2815 of the family's 2925-position model. The record is from RNAcentral.
UGAAUACGAGAUGCUACGGCGUCGAAGCAGUCUAUGUCAUACUUCCAAGAAAAGCUUGCACUGUCAUAAACAAAUAAUGCCUGUACCAUAACCGACACAGGUGGGUAGGUAGAGUAUACUAAGGGGCGCGAGAUAACUCUCUCUAAGGAACUCGGCAAAAUGACUCCGUAACUUCGGGAGAAGGAGUGCCUUAUUUAUAAGGUUGCAAUAACAAGAUCCAAGCAACUGUUUAUCAAAAACACAGGUCUCCGCUAAGUCGUAAGACGAUGUAUGGGGGCUGACGCCUGCCCAGUGCCAGAAGGUUAAAGAAGUUGGUUAGUGUAUGCGAAGCUGAUGACUGAAGCCCUGGUGAACGGCGGCCGUAACGAUAACGGUCCUAAGGUAGCGAAAUUCCUUGUCGGGUAAGUUCCGACCCGCACGAAAGGCGUAAUGAUUUGGAUACUGUCUCGGAGAGAGGCUCGGUGAAAUAGACUUGUCUGUGAAGAUGCGGACUACCUGCACCAGGACAGAAAGACCCUAUGAAGCUUUACUGUAACUUGAAAUUGGAAUUGGACUUUGCUUGCGCAGUAUAGGUGGGAAGCGUUGAAGAUAUUCUUGCGGGAGUAUUGGAGCUAUCAGUGAGAUACCACUCUUGUAAUGUUAGAUUUCUAACUUUGAACCAUAAUCUGGUCAAAGAACAGUUUCAGGUGGGCAGUUUGACUGGGGCGGUCGCCUCCCAAAUGGUAACGGAGGCGUACAAAGGUUUCCUCUGAACGGAUAGAAAUCGUAUCUAGAGUGUAAAAGCAUAAGGAAGCUUGACUGUGAGACCUACAAGUCGAGCAGGGACGAAAGUCGGUCUUAGUGAUCUGACGGUACUGAGUGGAAAGGCCGUCACUCAACGGAUAAAAGUUACUCUAGGAUAACAGGCUGAUCUCCCCCAAGAGUUCACAUCGACGGGGAGGUUUGGCACCUCGAUGUCGGCUCAUCGCAUCCUGGGGCGGUAGUACGUCCCAAGGGUUGGGCUGUUCGCCCAUGAAAGCGGUACGCGAGCUGGGUUCAGAACGUCGUGAGACAGUUCGGUCCAUAUCCGGUGUAGGCGUUAGAAUAUUGAGAGGAGCCUUCUUUAGUACGAGAGGACCGAGAAGGACACACCGCUGGUGUACCAGUUAUCGUGCCAACGGUAAACGCUGGGUAGCUAUGUGUGGAGUGGAUAACCGCUGAAAGCAUCUAAGUGGGAAGCCCACCUCAAGAUGAGUAUUCCC